GACGAACGCUGGCGGCGUGCUUAACACAUGCAAGUCGAACGGUAAGGCCCUUCGGGGUACACGAGUGGCGAACGGGUGAGUAACACGUGGGUGAUCUGCCCUGCACUUCGGGAUAAGCCUGGGAAACUGGGUCUAAUACCGGAUAGGACCACUGCCUGCAGGGGUGGUGGGGGAAAGCUUUUGCGGUGUGGGAUGGGCCCGCGGCCUAUCAGCUUGUUGGUGGGGUGAAGGCCUACCAAGGCGACGACGGGUAGCCGGCCUGCGAGGGUGACCGGCCACACUGGGACUGAGAUACGGCCCAGACUCCUACGGGAGGCAGCAGUGGGGAAUAUUGCACAAUGGGCGCAAGCCUGAUGCAGCGACGCCGCGUGAGGGAUGACGGCCUUCGGGUUGUAAACCUCUUUCAGCACCGACGAAGCGCAAGUGACGGUAGGUGCAGAAGAAGGACCGGCCAACUACGUGCCAGCAGCCGCCGUAC
RNAcentral lists this ribosomal RNA (478 nucleotides) under uncultured bacterium. RNAcentral's name for it is "partial 16S ribosomal RNA". It matches the Rfam family "Bacterial small subunit ribosomal RNA", at positions 28 to 523 of the family's 1533-position model. The record is from RNAcentral.